UUUCUAUAUCAAAAUCUCUUUUCGAUCAUAACAUUACAAUAAUGGACACAUAUUUCUUUAUGCAUGGAAUUUGCAUCUUAAAGUUACACAAGUUUUAUAUCAACUGAAAUGUUUUGGUCUCAUCAAAUUUUCCAGAUUGACACAUUACUACACUAGGUCACUUGUCCUUGCACCUUUACCAAAAUGGACACAAGGUGAUGCCUUUAAUAACAAGAACCAAAAUAAUUCCUGCUAAGUGCAUAUAUAUUAAGUACACACCAAAACAUUUCAGUUGUGCUGAAGGAAAGAUAGAGGAAUCAAAUGUGUUCUUAAGUUUCUUUGAAGGAAAGGUAAAUGCAAGGGCUGGAAAGGAAAGGAUGGAGGAGCAAAUAGAUUUGGAGCCACAGUCUUCCUCUCAACCGGGUGGAUUGACAAAGGAGUAGCGGGAUAAUCCGUAAUAACACCAUCCACAUUAGCUCCCAUGACGUAUGUGUUUAAUUCAACAUAUGGAUCUGAAAAGAAGUCCCAAGGUUGUGACACAAACUCAUUGUUCAUAAUCUGUACAUAUACUGGGAGCUUAAAAGCCUGAAGCUUGUCAACGACAUCAGUUUGACCAACAAGAAAUCCUGCACUUCGAGGGAAAACCGACUCCUUGCCAACAACUACAGAAUUGGCGAAUUUACUGAUAUCCAAAAUUGUUGAGUUUAGCGCAUCUCGGAUGUUCUCAUGAACUUCAUAAACUAGUUCAUGCCGGUUGCUUUUGGCCUUGAAUAAUUUUAGAACCCCACCUUCAGGAGAUUGGAUUAAUAUUUUCUUAGCCCUCUGAUUGUUGUAAGUAGAUUUAUUCAAUACAUCCAUCACUGCAUCUACAACACUUAAUCCUUCACUUGCUGCCAGGUAUGGUGCAUUCUGGAUGUUAAAGAACCAAAAUUCUGUCAGUUCUUUUGGUAAUAUGGGAACGAGAGGUAGCACUAUGAGCAAGUUGAAUAACGGCACUUCGCUGAAAUGGGACAUACUUAAAGCAGGCCAGGUUGGUUGACACAUAAACUCUUUAUUGGCCAGCUUUAAAAAGAAUUAUAUAUAUAGUGCAAUUUAUCAUGAUAAAAAUAAAUUUACAGUGUUACAAAAUAACUUGGAAUAAAAACAAUCUAGGAGGUUGUAUGCAUUAAAAUAAACUUCAGCUAAUUUUUUUAAUUUGACUUGUUUGAGUAAACACAAUUCA
Erigeron canadensis is the source of this 1201-nucleotide long non-coding RNA. RefSeq lists it as uncharacterized. The transcript is spliced from 2 exons. NCBI's taxonomy places the organism in Eukaryota, Viridiplantae, Streptophyta, Magnoliopsida, Asterales, Asteraceae. The record is from RefSeq and is a predicted model, not a curated record.